Molecule: ribosomal RNA, 400 nt
Filed under: uncultured bacterium
Lineage: Bacteria
Description: bacterial SSU rRNA
Rfam family: Bacterial small subunit ribosomal RNA
Source: RNAcentral
UGGGGAAUCUUCCGCAAUGGGCGAAAGCCUGACGGAGCAACGCCGCGUGAGUGACGAAGGCCUUUGGGUUGUAAAACUCUGUCUUCAGGGAAGAAAAAAAUGACGGUACCUGAGGAGGAAGCCCCGGCUAACUACGUGCCAGCAGCCGCGGUAAAACGUAGGGGGCGAGCGUUGUCCGGAAUUACUGGGCGUAAAGGGCGUGUAGGUGGCUCGUGAAGUCAGGAGUGAAAACCCGGGGCUCAACCCCGGGACUGCUUUUGAAACCAGCGGGCUUGAGUGCAGGAGAGGGAAGUGGAAUUCCCAGUGUAGCGGUGAAAUGCGUAGAUAUUGGGAGGAACACCAGUGGCGAAAGCGGCUUCCUGGCCUGUAACUGACACUGAGGCGCGAAAGCGUGGGGAGC